Long non-coding RNA from Callorhinchus milii (elephant shark), 841 nucleotides. RefSeq lists it as uncharacterized. The record is from RefSeq and is a predicted model, not a curated record. Lineage: Eukaryota; Metazoa; Chordata; Chondrichthyes; Chimaeriformes; Callorhinchidae. The transcript has 2 exons.
GUGUACCUGAGCUGAGCGGUGCUCGGUGGCCGCUUGGCUGUGGCUGACACUGAGCAGCAGAGCGGUUGGGCUCAGCGCCCGUCUCCGGUGGGUGAGCAGCAGAGAGGAGAGGAGAGGAGAGGAGGAGGAGGACUAUGCACCGCUGGAAACCUACAGCAAUUCCUGAAACCCACCAAAUGGCUUAUCGCAGCAGCAAUCAAUAGCGUCUCCUACAGGAGCACUGCGCCAUCAGCACCACCUCACCUCAUCUCUGUCUCAUUCUCAGGAUUAACAGGAAUCAAAAUGAGAAGAAUCCCUGUCCCUCGUGACUGGUCUGCUCUUUGGAGUUCUGCUCUGUCAUCAACAGUGCUCUGAUGUACUGCUGACCCAUCCACCUGUCUCAGGCACUGCACAACAGGGACUGCCAUAGAGGAUUGACUGAAUUCCAUCGCCAUGCACGACACCUUGGAGAAGGCUUGACUCCAAAGAGGUUACCUCCCUCCUCCCCAGGAGCACAUUAUUUUGAAGAAGAUAUCUUCCACCAGAAAGAAAACACUGCAUAUUUGCUUUAGUGUAGUAUUUUCCCUCCCAUAGAAGUUUACUUUUUCAACAACAACUUGCAUUUAUAUAGCGCCCUCCACGCAGGGUAGCAUCUCGGAGGGCUUCAGCCCAAUGUCACAGCCCAAUGUCAAAGAAUGGAGGACAGUUCCACUUGAGCCAGAGGCGCUCUAUUCACAUGCAUGAAGUCAGCACUUUCCAUUGGCCUUCAGGCUGACCUGGAAACAGCAAGCUGGAAGAAAAUGAGUGCAAUAGUCCUUUAGUCAUUAUUUCUCCUUUAACGUUAUGUUGAUUCGCUCAUUUU